RNAcentral lists this ribosomal RNA (510 nucleotides) under uncultured bacterium. RNAcentral describes it as "bacterial SSU rRNA". It matches the Rfam family "Bacterial small subunit ribosomal RNA", at positions 28 to 526 of the family's 1533-position model. The record is from RNAcentral.
GACGAACGCUGGCGGCGCGCUUAACACAUGCAAGUCGAGCGACGAAAGGGCCUUCGGGCCCCUGAAAGCGGCGAACGGGUGAGUAACACGUGGGUAACCCACCCUCGGUACCGGGAUAGCCCGGGGAAACCCGGAUUAAUACCGGAUGGCCUCUCCGGUCUACGGAUUGGCGAGAAAAGGUAGCUUCGGCCUCCGACCGAGGACGGGCCCGCGGCCGAUUAGCUUGUUGGUGGGGUAACGGCCCACCAAGGCGACGAUCGGUAGCUGGUCUGAGAGGACGAUCAGCCACACUGGGACUGAGACACGGCCCAGACUCCUACGGGAGGCAGCAGUGGGGAAUCUUGCGCAAUGGGCGGAAGCCUGACGCAGCGACGCCGCGUGCGGGAAGAAGGCCUUCGGGUUGUAAACCGCUUUCAGAAGGGACGAAGCCACUCGGGUGAAUAGCCCAGAGGGUGACGGUACCUUCAGAAGAAGCCCCGGCUAACUACGUGCCAGCCGCCGCAGUAAAAC